RNAcentral lists this unclassified non-coding RNA (914 nucleotides) under Hevea brasiliensis (rubber tree). Lineage: Eukaryota; Viridiplantae; Streptophyta; Magnoliopsida; Malpighiales; Euphorbiaceae. The record is from RNAcentral.
GCAGUGCUUUUACUGCUGCCAGUUUUGGUUUGCUUGAAGAGGAGGGAAUGGAUGACGAUGAUGAAUCUGUGUUGACUGCAGAAAAGGAUGAUGAUGAAGAGGAAGAUUCUGCGAUCAAGUUUUCAGGUAAGAAGAAGUCAUCCAAAUCUUCAAAGAAGAGUGGUUUUUCUGCAGUGUCAGCAUUCACUGCCCUUAAUGAUGAGAAUGAUGAGGAUGUAAUUGGUGAUGAGGUCAGGGUUGAUGAAGAUAUUGAUGAUGAGCCUGUUAUUGCAUUUACUGGUAAGAAGAAGUCAUCAAAAGGUGGCAAGAAGGCCGGGAGUGCAUUUACAGGUUUUAGUGGUCUUGACUAUGAGGACGAGGACAGAGAUGAUGAUGAUAAAGAUGGGGAUGAAGAUGUUACAUCAAUUAGCUUCUCUGGUAAGAAAAAGAAGUCAGCUAAGGCUUCAAAGAAGGGUGGAAAUUUGUUUAGUGCAGCAUUAGCAGAUGAGGAAAAUGGUGGCGAUGUUUCUAUUUCAGAGCCAAAUAAAUUAGACAAUGAUGGUGUUAAUGAAGACGAUGUCAAUGUUAUUGCAUUUUCUGGUAAGAAAAAGUCCUCUAAGAAGAAAAGCAGCAGUACUUUUACUGCAUUAAAUGAUGAAAAUGCGCAGGGCAAUGAAGUUAAGGAUGUAGUUGUACCUGAAAUACUUAAUACAGUAAGUAGCAAUCUUGAUUCUGAUUUAUCUAAUGCUAACAAGAUGGAAGCGGUGGCAGAGACUUCAAAAAAUAAAAAGAAAAAGAAGAAGAGCGGAAGGACUGCUCAAGAAGAAGAUGAUUUGGAUAAGAUUCUGGCUGAGCUAGGAGAAGGGCCUACCAUAUCAAAACCAGCAGACCCUCCCCUUUCUUCCCAGGAGGCCAAAGUUGAGAAUCCACCUGAG